Molecule: ribosomal RNA, 468 nt
Filed under: uncultured bacterium
Lineage: Bacteria
Description: partial 16S ribosomal RNA
Rfam family: Bacterial small subunit ribosomal RNA
Source: RNAcentral
GACGAACGCUGGCGGCGUGCUUAACACAUGCAAGUCGAACGGAAAGGCCCUGCUUUUGUGGGGUGCUCGAGUGGCAAACGGGCGAGUAACACGUGAGUAACCUGCCCUUAACUUUGGGAUAACUUCAGGAAACUGGGGCUAAUACCGGAUAGGAGCUCCUGCUGCAUGGUGGGGGUUGGAAAGUUUCGGCGGUUGGGGAUGGACUCGCGGCUUAUCAGCUUGUUGGUGGGGUAGUGGCUUACCAAGGCUUUGACGGGUAGCCGGCCUGAGAGGGUGACCGGCCACAUUGGGACUGAGAUACGGCCCAGACUCCUACGGGAGGCAGCAGUGGGGAAUAUUGCACAAUGGGCGGAAGCCUGAUGCAGCAACGCCGCGUGCGGGAUGACGGCCUUCGGGUUGUAAACCGCUUUCGCCUGUGACGAAGCGUGAGUGACGGUAAUGGGUAAAGAAGCACCGGCUAACUACGUG